AUUGAACGCUGGCGGCAAGCCUAACACAUGCAAGUCGAGCGGAUGAAGGGAGCUUGCUCCUGGAUUCAGCGGCGGACGGGUGAGUAAUGCCUAGGAAUCUGCCUGGUAGUGGGGGAUAACGUCCGGAAACGGGCGCUAAUACCGCAUACGUCCUGAGGGAGAAAGUGGGGGAUCUUCGGACCUCACGCUAUCAGAUGAGCCUAGGUCGGAUUAGCUAGUUGGUGGGGUAAAGGCCUACCAAGGCGACGAUCCGUAACUGGUCUGAGAGGAUGAUCAGUCACACUGGAACUGAGACACGGUCCAGACUCCUACGGGAGGCAGCAGUGGGGAAUAUUGGACAAUGGGCGAAAGCCUGAUCCAGCCAUGCCGCGUGUGUGAAGAAGGUCUUCGGAUUGUAAAGCACUUUAAGUUGGGAGGAAGGGCAGUAAGUCAAUACCUUGCUGUUUUGACGUUACCAACAGAAUAAGCACCGGCUAACUUCGUG
RNAcentral lists this ribosomal RNA (484 nucleotides) under uncultured bacterium. Its description in RNAcentral is "partial 16S ribosomal RNA". It matches the Rfam family "Bacterial small subunit ribosomal RNA", at positions 30 to 507 of the family's 1533-position model. The record is from RNAcentral.